This 1128-nucleotide ribosomal RNA is filed under the name uncultured organism. RNAcentral describes it as "bacterial SSU rRNA". It matches the Rfam family "Bacterial small subunit ribosomal RNA", at positions 30 to 1146 of the family's 1533-position model. The record is from RNAcentral.
CGAACGCUGGCGGCGCGUUUAAGCAUGCAAGUCGAACGGUAGAGUAGUGCUUGCACUACUUGAGAGUGGCGAACGGGUGAGUAACACGUAGGUGAUCUAUCUUUGGAUUUGGGAUAGCCUGUGGAAACACAGGGUAAUACCGGAUACGAGCUGGAAGCUGUGGCUUUCAGGGGAAAGGCCCUUAGGGGUCGUCCGAAGCUGAGCCUGCGGUCCAUUAGCUGGUUGGUGUGGUAAUGGCGCACCAAGGCGACGAUGGAUAGCCGGCCUGAGAGGGUGCUCGGCCACACUGGGACUGAGACACGGCCCAGACUCCUACGGGAGGCAGCAGCUAAGAAUCUUCCGCAAUGGGCGAAAGCCUGACGGAGCGACGCCGCGUGAACGAUGAAGGCCGUGAGGUUGUAAAGUUCUUUUCCUGGGGGAGAAUAACAGCCGGAGGGAAUGCCGGUUGGAUGACGUGAACCAGGGAAUAAGCCCCGGCUAAUUACGUGCCAGCAGCCGCGGUAACACGUAAGGGGCGAGCGUUGUUCGGAUUUAUUGGGCGUAAAGGGCGUGUAGGCGGUAGUGCAAGUCUGGUGUGAAAUACCCCGGCUCAACCGGGGAGGCGCGCUGGAAACUGUGCUGCUUGAGUCUAGGAGGGGGAGCUGGAAUUCCUGGUGUAGGGGUGAAAUCUGUAGAGAUCAGGAAGAACACCGGCGGCGAAGGCGAGCUCCUGGCCAUAGACUGACGCUGAGGCGCGAAAGCGUGGGGAGCGAACAGGAUUAGAUACCCUGGUAGUCCACGCUUGUAAACGAUGUGCACUAGGUGUUGGGACUGAUGAAAGUCUCGGUGCCGUAGCUAACGCGGUAAGUGCACCGCCUGGGGAGUAUGCUCGCAAGGGUGAAACUCAAAGGAAUUGACGGGGGCCCGCACAAGCGGUGGAGCAUGUGGUUUAAUUCGAUGAUACGCGAGAAACCUUACCAGGGCUUGACAUAGGCUUGACGGCUGUAGAGAUACAGCUUCCCUUCGGGGCGAGCUUACAGGUGCUGCAUGGCUGUCGUCAGCUCGUGCUGUGAAGUGUUGGGUUAAGUCCCGCAACGAGCGCAACCAUUGUCGUCUGUUGCCAACAGGUAAUGCUGGGGACUCAGGCGA